AGGACAGGUAGGACACAGGACAGGUAGGACACAGGACAGUAAUACUGGUGUGACUACAGGUAGUACACAGGACAGGUACAGUAGGACACAGGACAGGUAGGACACAGGACAGGUAAAGUAGGACACAGGACAGUAAUACUGGUGUGACUACAGGUAGGACACAGGACAGGUACAGUAGGAAACAGGACAGGUACAGUAGGACACAGGGCAGGUAGGACACAGGACAGUAAUACUGGUGUGACUACAGGUAGGACACAGAACAGGUACAGUAGGACACAGGACAGGUACAGUAGGACACAGGACAGGUAGGACACAGGACAGGUACAGUAGGACACAGGACAGGUAGGACACAGGACAGGUAGGACUCAGGACAGGUAGGACUCAGGACAGUAAUACUGGUGUGACUACAGGUAGGACACAGGACAGGUAGGACACAGGACAGGUAGGACUCAGGACAGGUAGGACUCAGGACAGUAAUACUG
Molecule: long non-coding RNA, 482 nt
Organism: Oncorhynchus tshawytscha (Chinook salmon)
Lineage: Eukaryota; Metazoa; Chordata; Actinopteri; Salmoniformes; Salmonidae
Source: Ensembl